RNAcentral lists this ribosomal RNA (879 nucleotides) under uncultured bacterium. Its description in RNAcentral is "bacterial SSU rRNA". It matches the Rfam family "Bacterial small subunit ribosomal RNA", at positions 8 to 916 of the family's 1533-position model. The record is from RNAcentral.
AGAGUUUGAUCAUGGCUCAGGAUGAACGCUGGCGGCGUGCCUAACACAUGCAAGUCGAGCGAUUCUCUUCGGAGAAGAGCGGCGGACGGGUGAGUAACGCGUGGGUAAUCUGCCCUGUACACACGGAUAACAUACCGAAAGGUAUGCUAAUACGAGAUAAUAUGCUUUUAUCGCAUGGUAGAAGUAUCAAAGCUCCGGCGGUACAGGAUGGACCCGCGUCUGAUUAGCUAGUUGGUAAGGUAACGGCUUACCAAGGCGACGAUCAGUAGCCGACCUGAGAGGGUGAUCGGCCACAUUGGAACUGAGACACGGUCCAAACUCCUACGGGAGGCAGCAGUGGGGAAUAUUGCACAAUGGGCGAAAGCCUGAUGCAGCAACGCCGCGUGAGCGAUGAAGGCCUUCGGGUCGUAAAGCUCUGUCCUCAAGGAAGAUAAUGACGGUACUUGAGGAGGAAGCCCCGGCUAACUACGUGCCAGCAGCCGCGGUAAUACGUAGGGGGCUAGCGUUAUCCGGAAUUACUGGGCGUAAAGGGUGCGUAGGUGGUUUCUUAAGUCAGAGGUGAAAGGCUACGGCUCAACCGUAGUAAGCCUUUGAAACUGGGAAACUUGAGUGCAGGAGAGGAGAGUGGAAUUCCUAGUGUAGCGGUGAAAUGCGUAGAUAUUAGGAGGAACACCAGUUGCGAAGGCGGCUCUCUGGACUGUAACUGACACUGAGGCACGAAAGCGUGGGGAGCAAACAGGAUUAGAUACCCUGGUAGUCCACGCCGUAAACGAUGAGUACUAGCUGUCGGAGGUUACCCCCUUCGGUGGCGCAGCUAACGCAUUAAGUACUCCGCCUGGGAAGUACGCUCGCAAGAGUGAAACUCAAAGGAAUUGACGG